UACGGGGGGAGCAAGCGUUGUUCGGAUUUACUGGGCGUAAAGGGCGCGUAGGCGGCCACCGCAAGUCAGUUGUGAAAGCUCUGGGCUUAACCCAGAAAGGUCAACUGAUACUGCGGGGCUAGAGUGCAGAAGGGGCAACUGGAAUUCUCGGUGUAGCGGUGGAAUGCGUAGAGAUCCGGAAGAACACCGGUGGCGAAGGCGGCCUGCUGGGCAGUUGCUGACACUGAGGCGCGACAGCGUGGGGAGCAAACAGG
RNAcentral lists this ribosomal RNA (254 nucleotides) under uncultured bacterium. Its description in RNAcentral is "partial 16S ribosomal RNA". It matches the Rfam family "Bacterial small subunit ribosomal RNA", at positions 524 to 776 of the family's 1533-position model. The record is from RNAcentral.